UACGUAGGGUCCAAGCGUUAUCCGGAAUUACUGGGCGUAAAGAGUUGCGUAGGUGGCAUAGUAAGUAGAUAGUGAAAGCGUGUGGCUCAAUCAUACAUCCAUUAUCUAAAACUGCUAAGCUUGAGGAUGAGAGAGGUAGAUGGAAUUCCUAAUGUAGGGGUAAUAUCCGUAGAUAUUAGGAGGAAACACCGAUGGCGUAAGCAGUCUACUGGCUCAUUCCUGACACUAAGGCACGAAAGCGUGGGGAGCAAACGGG
RNAcentral lists this ribosomal RNA (256 nucleotides) under uncultured bacterium. Its description in RNAcentral is "partial 16S ribosomal RNA". It matches the Rfam family "Bacterial small subunit ribosomal RNA", at positions 524 to 776 of the family's 1533-position model. The record is from RNAcentral.